This is a long non-coding RNA of Oncorhynchus tshawytscha (Chinook salmon), 528 nucleotides long. The record is from Ensembl. NCBI's taxonomy places the organism in Eukaryota, Metazoa, Chordata, Actinopteri, Salmoniformes, Salmonidae.
CUGGGAAACCACAAGGAGUAACAGUAGUAAGCAGGGUCUGGAGACUCGUAGCUCCUCCCCAAACACAAAAGGAUUGACCAACCGCAACCUAAGUCCCUCCCCUCAGAUGCAAAGGCACACCUCGUCCCAGAGUUCCAUGGAGUCCUCGGAAUCUGGCCAGUUGUCAGGGGAGUCAACGGAGAGGAAUAGGGAAGAGUACGCCAUGAUGGCCGAUCUACCAAAGGUCAAGCCUGUCCUCCAAAGGGAGCGGCUUCGUCAUGUGGGACAGACUCCAAAUCUACCCUCAGGGAGACAGGAGCUCUUCAAACCAGCAAGCCACUCCCUCUCCAAGCAUCCCUCCAGAGAGUGGCUAGAUGACUCAGGGGACCUAGAGAGAAACCACAUAGAAUGGCAUAAUGGCAGCAGCGGUAGACUGUCUCGAGCACACUCGUCCACCUCUUUGCAAACGCAGAGGCCCCACAGCCCCACUAUAGAGGAGGAGGCCAGUCCAUGGAGGGCACAACAUAGCUCUUCCUUGGAACAAAUGCA